CUGGGUAUGUGCAUUCUUGGUCCUUUCUUUGAUUCCCAACCAUGCCAUAAACCACUGAGCCUCCAAGCAAGUACAAAACCAGUUCCAUUUCUGAAAAAGGGAAAAUAACUUGCCUCAAUCAUGUGCAGUGUUUUUCAUUGUAAGUUUUUUCUUUUUUUGAAACCCACUUUGAUAUCCUGGACCUCCAGAUAAAUUCCUGUUUCUCACAGCUCAGCAUCCAUUUGCAGUGAGAUCAGGACAGCAGCCAUCUGCACAAUGGAGACCAUGUGUUUCAUUUACAUUCCAGAUAAAUUAGGGACCCAAUCAAUUUGAAAUCUGGCCUGUGUACUUUUGAACUACAGAAAUAUAAAACUAGGGCAAAGGGCACAGCUCAGUUGUAGAGUGCUUGCCUCACAAGGCCAUAGGUUCAACCUAUAGCACUGAAAAAAAAAA
Molecule: long non-coding RNA, 432 nt
Filed under: Marmota monax (woodchuck)
Lineage: Eukaryota; Metazoa; Chordata; Mammalia; Rodentia; Sciuridae
Source: RNAcentral